AACACAGGUGCUGCAUGGCUGUCGUCAGCUCGUGUCGUGAGAUGUUGGGUUAAGUCCCGCAACGAGCGCAACCCUUAUCAUUAGUUGCUACGCAAGGGCACUCUAAUGAGACUGCCGGUGACAAACCGGAGGAAGGUGGGGAUGACGUCAAGUCCUCAUGGCCCUUAUGGGUAGGGCUUCACACGUCAUACAAUGGUCGGUACAGAGGGUUGCCAAGCCGCGAGGUGGAGCCAAUCCCACAAAGCCGAUCGUAGUCCGGAUUGUUCUCUGCAACUCGAGAGCAUGAAGUCGGAAUCGCUAGUAAUCGCAGGUCAGCAUACUGCGGUGAAUACGUUCCCGGGUCUUGUACACACCG
This 355-nucleotide ribosomal RNA is filed under the name uncultured soil bacterium. RNAcentral describes it as "bacterial SSU rRNA". It matches the Rfam family "Bacterial small subunit ribosomal RNA", at positions 1031 to 1392 of the family's 1533-position model. The record is from RNAcentral.